AUGACGGGCCGAGGAGCGCGGGGACUGCUGGGAUGGAGGGCGACAUGGCGGCCGGGCCCGGCGGGCCUGGGGUAGGUCCAGCAGGGUCUGCUGUGGAGGGGAAGGAUCUGGCCUCCCUGGCCACGGUCACGAGUGCAGAAUAAAACGUGAACGGGAUGCACACCUUGAGUAUUAUGUGCAGUUUUGGGCACCCCCUUAUAAGAAAGAUGUAAAGCUUAUUAUCGUCCAGAGGAGGGCAGUGAAGAUGGGGAAGGGCCUGGAGAAGAAACCACACCAGGAGUGCCUGAGGUCACUUGGUCUGUUCAGCCUGGAGAAGUGGAGGCUAAAGGGAGACCUCAAACAGGUCUACAAGUUCCUUGUGAGGAGCAGAGGAGGGGCAGACCCUGAUCUCUGCUCUGUGGGGACCAGUGACAGGACCUGAGGGAAUGGCCUGGAGUUGUGUCAGGGCAGGCUUAGGCUGCAUAUUAGAAAGAGGUUCUUUCUCCAGAGGGUGGUGGGCACUGAAACAGGCUCCCAGGGACAGUGGUCACAGCACCAAGGCUGACAGCUCAAGAAGCGUUAGGACAACACUCAGGCACAUGGUGUGACACUUGGGCAUAGUCCUGUGUAGAGCCAGGAGUUGGACUCAAUGAUCCUUGUGGAUCCUUUCCCACUCAGGGUAUUCUGUUAUUCUGUGAACUGGCUCUGCACAGGAAUGGUCUGGCUGUGCUGGUUGUGCUGAAGGCCUGGUCACCUCCCAGGCUGUGACACCAGACGAGCAGUGCUGGGCGCUCUGCAGUCCCACUUUGUCCAGCACACUAACAAGCUCUCCACAUAGCACAUACUGUUAUUACAGAAUCAGAGAAUCAUUAAGGUUGGAAAGUACCUCCGAGAUCAUGGAGUCCAACCUUCAGCUACAUUGAAACCCUGACAGACACUUCAGUGUGUGACACUGUGCAUACAGUUCACUGCAGAACCUGGAGGUUCUGCAUUUACAACUGAAAGUACACUGGGACAAAAGCUGCUUGUUCAGCCUUACGAUAGACCUGCACAGACAUUAUCAUGAUCUUCCUAUGUUUUUUUUUCCCCCUACUAACUAUGAAGAAUCAGAAGGAAAAAAAACCCAACUGUAAUACUUUUAUGUUGAAAAAUAAAUAUAUUCCUAUGGCUGUGAUUUUUCUGAAUAUGUGUGUAAUGUUUUCCUUAAAUGAGUCGUGGCGAGAUUCUGCACCUACUGGUGAAUUUUCAAAAGCCUUAAAUCAGCAAUGAUUUCAUCUUUCCUCUUGCUUUUAUAUUAUUGUGAUGCAAACCUUGAAUAAUAGUGUUUCUCAAUAUGCUGCAUUUUGCAUUAAAGCUGUGAAAGGCUGUAGCCACAAAAACUUUUCCUUUCUGUUAUUUUUUUAAUGUAGGAGAGACUGAGAGUUGUCUGUAGCAAUCCUUGCGUGCUGUGUUCACCUGCUUGCUGUGAUUUUUACUGUGUGCCUUCACAGUACUGAAGUAAAUGUAAAGAUAUAUGUUUCCACUGGUGGUUUUCAGUUUCUACAGUAUACUGUGUCUUCCUGACCUGAAUAUGGAAGGAAGCCUGAGGGAUUUUAAGACUUCUUUGUGCCUGCAGUACAGAAGCUUCCCAGUUUAAGAGAGAAGAGUCAAAGAAGGAAAUACUGGGAUCUAAAUUUCACAAGCUUCAAAACCUGCAGAAGAUACGGUUUGAAGACAGCCCGGCGCAGAGGUUUCCUGAGCACACAGCGGUUUCAGGCGCAGUAAUGAAGUCUCAGCACAAGAGGGCCCCCAAAGACAGCGUGUCCUGCGGUGCGGAACAGGCGAUGGUCCAAGUUUGGGUCGGGAAUGCCGAGUGUGCCGUGUGUUCAAUGAUGCCUUAGGAUAGCUCAUGCAUUUCACUGUAAUUUGGAAAGAAGGCAUAAUAUUAGCUUCUUAAAUACUGACUCCAUCACUGCAUUAGAACUCAAAAUAUUUCAUAUAACCCAGGAAACAUACUUGAACUGAAUUAAACACCAAGAACUUACAAUGAUUUUUAUUUUUAUUAGUAGUAAAGUUAGACUCUUAUAAAGGAUUAUUUUUAUUAUUGCUUAAUGUAUUUUAAUUUUGAGAACUGUCUUGUAUACUAUGAUCUAGAAUGUUCUUCCAUUACUUUCAUGCACUCAGAAGACCAUCAAACGUUUGUGCAGUACAUGUGUUGAAUCCUGAAGUUCCCUUAUGAACCAUUUAACUGGACUAUACUUCUUCUACUCUAAUGGUCCUGCUUCUUACAGCUUAGAGUUCUUUCUCAUUUUCACAGCCUCUCAAAGAAAAUCAUAUUUACUGAAAGUGGAGAGUGAGGUUGUGCUCUCUGGGGUUGUAAUGAAAAGUCAACUAAAUGCUCUCAUUCUACAGGAAGGACUUUGGUGCUGUACUCUUUACUCUUUAAAAAGCUCCACUUCAACAACAUAUUGCUGAACUGAAUCAAAUGAGAUUUGCAGCAAAACCGUCACAAUAUUAAAAGGAAGGUUGCUAAAGGAACAUACCCUCUAAUUAAUUCUACAAACAAACCAAACCAAACCAAAACAGAGAGUAUCAAAGAAGGCAUGGAAAGUUAUUAAUAACUUUUAAGCUCCCUUCUAAUGACAAGUUAGAAUAGCCUAUCUUUACAAAACAACAGAAAAAUUAAGGUCAUAACUUUAGAAAUGUAGUGUUCAGAAAAUUUUAAAUCAGAAUACUUAGAUAAAUAAACGCAUGUGUAGAAAGUAAAGUCAGUAACCCCUUAGAAUGGUCUAAUUUUGACUACUGAAGAGGUGAAUCUAUAUUAUAAAACUCAAGUUAUACAGUAAAAGUCAACGCCCUGUCUUUAUAGACACACAACCAGGAAGUUUUCCCAUGACUUAUUAGAAAAAACAAGUGCAAAUACUUUAUGAUGGUUCAACCAAAUAUAGUUCCACAGAAAUUAAGACAUAUAUUGCUACUAUAGAAGGUGAUAUUCAGGUCAUCUAACAAAGGCUCUAGGCCCGUGUCCAACAAAAACAACACUCAGGUUUUCUUAAAACCAGUAAGAACUAGAUUUACUGAAGUGCUAUAGUGAACAUUAUUUUCAAAUCUCUUAAUCUGUGUAAGAAAAUACUGAUCACAUAUCUUUGGGCUUAGAUUUGAAUAAACUUGAGUUUAAGUGUUGCUACUGUAAUCAGUCUGCUUUUAUUUACAAAGAUACAUCUGGGUAGGUUAUUCAGUACUAAUCAGUACUUUGUCAAUAGCAAAGUACCUGGAAGCUUAGUGUAAAUCUCAUGCAGAUGUAUCACUGUGUUA
Molecule: long non-coding RNA, 3273 nt
Organism: Myiozetetes cayanensis
Lineage: Eukaryota; Metazoa; Chordata; Aves; Passeriformes; Tyrannidae
Exons: 3
Source: RefSeq, a predicted model, not a curated record